AGACGUAGGGGGCUAGCGUUGCCCGGAUUCACUGGGCGUAAAGCGCGCGUAGGCGGUUCGGCAAGUCGCCCGUGAAAGCCCCUGGCUCAACUGGGGGAGGUCGGGCGAUACUGCCGGGCUAGAGGGCGGCAGAGGGAGGUGGAACGGCCGGAGUAGCGGUGAAAUGCGUAGAUACCGGCCGGAAUCCCGAUGGCGAAGGCAACCUCCUGGGCCGUUUCUGACGCUGAGGCGCGAAAGCUGGGGGAGCGAACCGGAUUAGAAACCCUUGUAGUCC
This 274-nucleotide ribosomal RNA is filed under the name uncultured bacterium. RNAcentral's name for it is "partial 16S ribosomal RNA". It matches the Rfam family "Bacterial small subunit ribosomal RNA", at positions 523 to 796 of the family's 1533-position model. The record is from RNAcentral.